GAUGAACGCUGGCGGCGUGCCUAAUACAUGCAAGUCGAGCGAACGGACGAGAAGCUUGCUUCUCUGAUGUUAGCGGCGGACGGGUGAGUAACACGUGGAUAACCUACCUAUAAGACUGGGAUAACUUCGGGAAACCGGAGCUAAUACCGGAUAAUAUUUUGAACCGCAUGGUUCAAAAGUGAAAGACGGUCUUGCUGUCACUUAUAGAUGGAUCCGCGCUGCAUUAGCUAGUUGGUAAGGUAACGGCUUACCAAGGCAACGAUGCAUAGCCGACCUGAGAGGUGGACCGGCCACACGGAAACUAGGCCAGGGCCCAGACUCUUACGGAGGGAGGAGGUGGGAAUUCUUCCGAAAUGGGGGAAGGCUGAACGGGGCAACGCCGGUUGGGUAAGGAGGGUCUUCGAUUGGUAAACCCCUUUAAUUGGGGAAAAAAAUAUUUGUAAGUAACUGUGACCAUUUGACCGGAACCAAAUAAGAAAGCCCCGCUUAACUCCUU
This 496-nucleotide ribosomal RNA is filed under the name uncultured bacterium. RNAcentral describes it as "partial 16S ribosomal RNA". It matches the Rfam family "Bacterial small subunit ribosomal RNA", at positions 28 to 506 of the family's 1533-position model. The record is from RNAcentral.